GGCUAAUACCGCAUAAUCCCUGAGGGGGAAAGCGGGGGAUCUAAGGACCUCGCGUUAUUUGAGCGGCCGAUGUUGGAUUAGCUAGUUGGUGGGGUAAAGGCCUACCAAGGCGACGAUCCAUAGCGGGUCUGAGAGGAUGAUCCGCCACAUUGGGACUGAGACACGGCCCAAACUCCUACGGGAGGCAGCAGUGGGGAAUUUUGGACAAUGGGGGGAACCCUGAUCCAGCCAUGCCGCGUGUCUGAAGAAGGCCUUCGGGUUGUAAAGGACUUUUGUUAGGGAAGAAAAGCUAGGUGCUAAUACCACCGAGUGCUGACGGUACCUAAAGAAUAAGCACCGGCUAACUACGUGCCAGCAGCCGCGGUAAUACGUAGGGUGCGAGCGUUAAUCGGAAUUACUGGGCGUAAAGCGAGCGCAGACGGUUAAAUAAGUCAGAUGUGAAAUCCCCGAGCUCAACUUGGGACGUGCAUUUGAAACUGUGUAACUAGAGUGUGUCAGAGGGAGGUAGAAUUCCACGUGUAGCAGUGAAAUGCGUAGAGAUGUGGAGGAAUACCGAUGGCGAAGGCAGCCUCCUGGGAUAACACUGACGUUCAUGCUCGAAAGCGUGGGUAGCAAACAGGAUUAGAUACCCUGGUAGUCCACGCCCUAAACGAUGACAAUUAGCUGUUGGGGCACUAGAUGCUUUAGUAGCGAAGCUAACGCGUGAAAUUGUCCGCCUGGGGAGUACGGUCGCAAGAUUAAAACUCAAAGGAAUUGACGGGGACCCGCACAAGCGGUGGAUGAUGUGGAUUAAUUCGAUGCAACGCGAAGAACCUUACCUGGUCUUGACAUGUACGGAAUCUCUUAGAGAUAGGAGAGUGCCUUCGGGAACCGUAACACAGGUGCUGCAUGGCUGUCGUCAGCUCGUGUCGUGAGAUGUUGGGUUAAGUCCCGCAACGAGCGCAACCCUUGUCAUUAGUUGCCAUCAUUAAGUUGGGCACUCUAAUGAGACUGCCGGUGAUAUACCGGAGGAAGGUGGGGAUGACGUCAAGUCCUCAUGGCCCUUAUGACCAGGGCUUCACACGUCAUACAAUGGUCGGUACAGAGGGUAGCGAAGCCGCGAGGUGAAGCCAAUCUCAGAAAGCCGAUCGUAGUCCGGAUUGCACUCUGCAACUCGAGUGCAUGAAGUCGGAAUCGCUAGUAAUCGCAGGUCAGCAUACUGCGGUGAAUACGUUCCCGGGUCUUGUACAC
Molecule: ribosomal RNA, 1230 nt
Filed under: uncultured beta proteobacterium
Lineage: Bacteria; Pseudomonadati; Pseudomonadota; Betaproteobacteria
Description: bacterial SSU rRNA
Rfam family: Bacterial small subunit ribosomal RNA
Source: RNAcentral